RNAcentral lists this ribosomal RNA (498 nucleotides) under uncultured bacterium. RNAcentral's name for it is "bacterial SSU rRNA". It matches the Rfam family "Bacterial small subunit ribosomal RNA", at positions 8 to 523 of the family's 1533-position model. The record is from RNAcentral.
AGAGUUUGAUCCUGGCUCAGGAUGAACGCUGGCGGUAUGCCUUACACAUGCAAGUCGAACGGGAAUUAGCUUCGGUUAAUUCUAGUGGCGGACGGGUGAGUAACACGUGAGAAUUCGCCUUUAGGAGGGGGAUAACGGAUGGAAACAUUCGCUAAAACCCCAUAUGCCCCAGGGUGAAAAAGAGGAGAUAAGUUAAACUGAAUCACCUCUGCCUGAAGAGAAGCUCGCGGCUGAUUAGCUAGUUGGUAGGGUAAUGGCCUACCAAGGCGACGAUCAGUAGCUGGUCUGAGAGGACGAUCAGCCACACUGGAACUGAGACACGGUCCAGACUCCUACGGGAGGCAGCAGUGAGGAAUUUUCCACAAUGGGCGAAAGCCUGAUGGAGCAACGCCGCGUGCAGGAUGAAGGUUUUCGGAUCGUAAACUGCUUUUAUAGGUGAAGAAUAUGACGGUAACUUAUGAAUAAGGGUCGCUAACUACGUGCCAGCAGCCGCGGUAA